GGUUCAGGACGAACGCUGGCGGCGUGCCUAACACAUGCAAGUCGAGCGGGGACAUGCGACGGAGAUGAAGAUUCGGUUGGAUUCAAAGAUGUAUUGUCUAGCGGCGGACGGGUGAGUAACGCGUGAGCAACCUGUCCCUUACAGGGGAUAACACAGCGAAAGUUGUACUAAUACCGCAUAAGACCACGGGUUCACAUGGACCAGGGGUCAAAGGAGCAAUCCGGUGAGGGGUGGGCUCGCGUCCGAUUAGAUAGUUGGUGAGGUAACGGCCCACCAAGUCGACGAUCGGUAGCCGACCUGAGAGGGUGAUCGGCCACAUUGGGACUGAGACACGGCCCAAACUCCUACGGGAGGCAGCAGUGGGGAAUAUUGGGCAAUGGGGGAAACCCUGACCCAGCAACGCCGCGUGAGGGAAGAAGGUUUUCGGAUCGUAAACCUCUGUCCUUGGUGAAGAGGAAGAGACGGUAGCCAAGGAGGAAGCCCCGGCUAACUACGUGCCAGCCGCCGC
RNAcentral lists this ribosomal RNA (508 nucleotides) under uncultured bacterium. RNAcentral's name for it is "bacterial SSU rRNA". It matches the Rfam family "Bacterial small subunit ribosomal RNA", at positions 21 to 518 of the family's 1533-position model. The record is from RNAcentral.